GCUGGAUGUGGUAGUGCAUGCCUGUAGUCCCAGCUACUUGGGAGGCUGAGGCGAGAGGAUUGCUUGAGCCUGGGAGGUCGAGGCUGCAGUGAGCCAUGAUCAUGCCACUGCAGUCUUGCCUGGGUGACUCAGCAAGACCCUGUCUCAA
This 148-nucleotide small RNA is filed under the name Macaca fascicularis (crab-eating macaque). RNAcentral's name for it is "Metazoan signal recognition particle RNA (ENSMFAG00000047859.1)". Lineage: Eukaryota; Metazoa; Chordata; Mammalia; Primates; Cercopithecidae. The record is from Rfam by way of RNAcentral.